Molecule: unclassified non-coding RNA, 887 nt
Filed under: Bradyrhizobium sp. AD1T2-3-1
Lineage: Bacteria; Pseudomonadati; Pseudomonadota; Alphaproteobacteria; Hyphomicrobiales; Nitrobacteraceae
Description: partial 16S-23S ribosomal RNA intergenic spacer
Rfam family: Bacterial large subunit ribosomal RNA (bases 775-887)
Source: RNAcentral
GCUAUCUAUCGGAUCGUUUUAGAAACAUUCAGGGGCCAACAGUUUCAGGAUUGUUGAGCUCCAUUGGCGGGGUUUCGCCGUCUUCGUUUCUCUUUCUUCGCGGACGAACACGCGCCAGGGGCUGAGCGCUGUGCGAUGCACCGACUUCAGGUCGAGUGCGCGCCGGCAUGUCUCUCGUGUUAGGGGCUUGUAGCUCAGUUGGUUAGAGCGCGCGCUUGAUAAGCGUGAGGUCGGAAGUUCAAGUCUUCCCAGGCCCACCAUUUUGAUCGAGUGCGGAGCAUUCGUCUUCUGGUACGGGGCCAUAGCUCAGCUGGGAGAGCGCGUGCUUUGCAAGCAUGAGGUCGUCGGUUCGAUCCCGUCUGGCUCCACCAGAUGGAAUUGAAGCUCGACAGUGCCUCGUUCAUUUCGUCCGCGAAACAUCACUUCGCACUCAUUGGUCCGGAUGGACGGUGACGUGCGUGUUUUCUGACAUCGUAAAGAGGAGAUCGAUCCGAGUUUGGAUCAAGCGAAGCAAUUCGCCUGAGCCAUUCAUUAUCUCCGGGAUCAUUUCGGCGCUCGCUUUCAAUCGCAAGAUUGGAUGCGGGUUGUAAAUGAUCCCUUUUAGCGAAGCUUGACCGCCUCGCUAUCGGGCCGAUCUUACGAAGCAAGCUGGUCUUUCUAGUCAAUGUCCGGCUGCGCAAUCGCAUUCAUCGAGGAUGCGUGCCUGAGACUUCGGUCUUCGGGCAGUUGUGCAGACAACAUUCUGCCGAGUGUGUGGACAUUGAUAAUGAGAGCAAUCAAGUGCCUUAAGGGUGUUCGGUGGAUGCCUUGGCGCUGAGAGGCGAUGAAGGACGUGCUACGCUGCGAUAAGCCGUGGGGAGCUGCGAAGAAGCUUUGAUCCGCGGAUU